GCAGGUAAUUAAGUUAUUACUUAGAAUUAUAGUAAUUACUUGUACAUGUUCGUAUAUUGCGGUUGGUUGCAUCAUGGAAUUAUGAAUGAAUUUCUUUCGAUAAGGAAAUGUACUACAUAAGUAUUUGCAAACAAAACAUUUUUUAAUAGAAGAGAUAUCAGCGGUUUUUAGGAGUGAUAAAUGUACAUAAGAAGCGGUUUGGAUUUGGAAGAUUUGCUCGUAGAACUCUUAAAAUAUAAAAAAAAAACAGUGUGAUAAGUCGUUUAUGUUUUGAAAUACAAUAUAAGAGUUGCGUCAUGCAUUGAAAGCGAAGCUCGGGAGGUCUGAUAUUUAUAAUGGAAUGUAGUGGAUAUGAAACGAAACUUAGCUCAGUGUUCAACGAUAUUUAUUCUACGCGAUACUUAUCUUAAAUACUUCAAUUCUGAUGUAUACAUCAUUUACGACAUUUACUAAUCUGUUGACUUGGUUAGACAAAGUACGAAAGCAGAUGACAUCGUUGAACGUACGGAAGAAGAUCACUAAAGAUCCAAAAAUGCCUUUGCGUGAUCCAAAAGUGACGGCUUAAGCCAAAGUGCGCUACAAACCCAACAUUAGACCAAAUGUUUUCAAACAAAAAAUCAAAAAAAAAAUUGCUGGAUAGCCGUCCACUUGACUGUUGCGGAUUUGACAUUUUCCGAAAUAAACAAUUAAGGCUCAUAUUAAAUAAAAAUCUCUUAAAUAA
Non-coding RNA from Bactrocera oleae (olive fruit fly), 721 nucleotides. Lineage: Eukaryota; Metazoa; Arthropoda; Insecta; Diptera; Tephritidae. The record is from RefSeq and is a predicted model, not a curated record.